Molecule: ribosomal RNA, 274 nt
Filed under: uncultured bacterium
Lineage: Bacteria
Description: partial 16S ribosomal RNA
Rfam family: Archaeal small subunit ribosomal RNA
Source: RNAcentral
AAACCAGCACCUCAAGUGGUCAGGAUGAUUAUUGGGCCUAAAGCAUCCGUAGCCUGCUCUGUAAGUUUUCGGUUAAAUCUGUACGCUUAACGUACAGGCUGCCGGGAAUACUGCAGAGCUAGGGAGUGGGAGAGGUAGACGGUACUCGGGAGGAAGUGGUAAAAUGCUUUGAUCUCUCGAUGACCACCUGUGGCGAAGGCGGUCUACCAGAACACGUCCGACGGUGAGGGAUGAAAGCUGGGGGAGCAAAACGGAUUAGAAACCCGAGUAGUCC